Molecule: non-coding RNA, 634 nt
Filed under: Pan troglodytes (chimpanzee)
Lineage: Eukaryota; Metazoa; Chordata; Mammalia; Primates; Hominidae
Source: RNAcentral
GGGCCCCGCCGGAAGCCCGUCCAGCGCCCAACAAAAGCGGCGCGACAAGUCUACGACUGAGCCGAACGCUUCUGGGCGCCGCGCGCCAGGGGGAAACGUUCGCGGGGGAACGUUCAGGAGAAAACGCUCCAGCAACUCCCAGCCGACCCCGCCCCUCCCCGACCUACCAUAGACGCCGUCCUCCAUGGCGGCUAGGAAGGCCCGCGGGGAGUCCGGGGCGGUCCCGCCAGUCGGGCCUGGAUCCGCGUUGGCCCGCGGGCUCGGAUGGGGAAACUGACAUGAAGAGGAGUCCAAAGUGACACAGUCAGGCCAGAAAUGUUGCUUCUGAAGUCCUGAGUCCACCUCCUAGCACUGCCAAGCAGUCCACCUGGAGGUGAUGAGAACUUCCAGGCUUUGGUAAUGGACAACUCUGUAUCCCUGGAGCCUUCAUUCCUUUUGGCAUUACAGAACCACAAGAAGUCAUCUAGAAUCAUUGAGAUUCUCAACUCCAUUGGGCAAACUGGAACCAGCAAAAUCUCAGAUAUCUAGAAUUGCCACUGCUUCCUUGACUCUGUGAUCAGUCUACAGCCACAGAAUCCUGAUUCCCUUUGGACAUUCUAGAAUGGCACUUAAAAAAAAAAUAACAACCCACCCA